This 262-nucleotide long non-coding RNA is filed under the name Coturnix japonica (Japanese quail). RNAcentral describes it as "lncRNA (ENSCJPG00005006529.1)". The record is from RNAcentral. Lineage: Eukaryota; Metazoa; Chordata; Aves; Galliformes; Phasianidae.
GGGGGUUGUUUGGGGGUCCCUGCGCCCCCUCCCCAAUAUAAGGAGUCAAUAUGGGGUUGUUUGGGGGUCCCUGUGCCCCCUCCCCAAUAUAAGGAGUCAAUAGGGGGAUGCUGGGGUUGUUUGGGGGUCCCUGUGCCCCCUCCCCAAUCUGAGCAGUCAAUAUGGGGAUGCUGGGGGUCCCUGCGCCCCCUCCCCAAUAUGAGCAGUCAAUAGGGGGAUGAUGGGGUGGGUGGGGGGGUUGUUUGGGGGUCCCAAACCCCCU